UACGUAGGGGGCAAGCGUUGUCCGGAAUCAUUGGGCGUAAAGCGCGUGUAGGCGGCCAGAAAAGUCCGCUGUGAAAACUCGAGGCUCAACCUCGAGACGUCGGUUGAAACCACCUGGCUAGAGUCCGGAAGAGGAGAGUGGAAUUCCUGGUGUAGCGGUGAAAUGCGCAGAUAUCAGGAAGAACACCGGUGGCGAAGGCGGCUCUCUGGGACGGUACUGACGCUGAGACGCGAAAGCGUGGGGAGCGAACAGG
RNAcentral lists this ribosomal RNA (253 nucleotides) under uncultured bacterium. RNAcentral describes it as "partial 16S ribosomal RNA". It matches the Rfam family "Bacterial small subunit ribosomal RNA", at positions 524 to 776 of the family's 1533-position model. The record is from RNAcentral.